AUCAAAGAGACAUACAAAUGGACAUUUACAGAAAACGUAUGGUUCAUCACUUUCGUUUCCUUUAUCUUUAUGCAGAACCGAUUUUCUUCAAAACACUUACUUUUGUGAUUUCGUUAUCUCCAAAUUCGUUUACAUGAUUAUUCGAAUCAAUCGUUUUGUAUACAAAAAUCUAUUCGGAGGGUUAAAUAAGUUGAGUUCGUGAGGUGGUCUCCGUAGAUUCAUUUUCGUGGUGUUGAUUUAAAUUCAGAAAAUGAGAAUUGGGCUGUAGCUCAUGCUUCAUCCAAUUUAAGAGCCAAUUGAAAGGGUAAGUUUUUCUAAUAUCCAAUUUAUGAUAUGCUAUUCCACUUUAACAUUUGUCGUUAUAGGGCUUAAAUAUUUUUACCAAGUAUUUAGAUUCCUACUUGAUUCCAUCGUCUGUAUUUUCGUAAUUGUGUAGAUUUUUUUUUGGGACCAACUAUCAAUUUAUAGACCGAAGAAAGAAAAACAGAGGGGUUGGUACCAGAGAGGACAGCAGCCUUUGCUAAGGCAUCUGCUAGAACAUUCUCAGAACGGGGAAUAAAAGUUAAAGGAAACAUGUAAUUUUGUAGAUUCAAAAAAAGUAUUGUUUUGUAUAUAGUAAUUGUUUGUUAUCUUUGUUAACGACAAUAGAUUUAAGGAAAACCGGUUUGAUUUUAUACAACGGCUAACCUCAAAGGUUUAUUGAAUUUGGUUUUAUUCCAGGAUCUUGA
This 728-nucleotide long non-coding RNA is filed under the name Capsella grandiflora. RNAcentral's name for it is "long non-coding RNA (CGRA_LNC000644)". Lineage: Eukaryota; Viridiplantae; Streptophyta; Magnoliopsida; Brassicales; Brassicaceae. The record is from RNAcentral.